GCCUUCGGGCUUAGUGGCGCACGGGUGCGUAACGCGUGGGAAUCUGCCCUUGGGUACGGAAUAACAGUGAGAAAUUGCUGCUAAUACCGUAUGAUGUCUUCGGACCAAAGAUUUAUCGCCCAGGGAUGAGCCCGCGUAGGAUUAGCUAGUUGGUGAGGUAAAGGCUCACCAAGGCUACGAUCCUUAGCUGGUCUGAGAGGAUGAUCAGCCACACUGGGACUGAGACACGGCCCAGACUCCUACGGGAGGCAGCAGUGGGGAAUAUUGGACAAUGGGCGAAAGCCUGAUCCAGCAAUGCCGCGUGAGUGAAGAAGGCCUUCGGGUUGUAAAGCUCUUUUACCCGGGAUGA
RNAcentral lists this ribosomal RNA (349 nucleotides) under uncultured Sphingomonas sp. RNAcentral describes it as "bacterial SSU rRNA". It matches the Rfam family "Bacterial small subunit ribosomal RNA", at positions 82 to 448 of the family's 1533-position model. Lineage: Bacteria; Pseudomonadati; Pseudomonadota; Alphaproteobacteria; Sphingomonadales; Sphingomonadaceae. The record is from RNAcentral.